This 471-nucleotide ribosomal RNA is filed under the name uncultured bacterium. RNAcentral describes it as "partial 16S ribosomal RNA". It matches the Rfam family "Bacterial small subunit ribosomal RNA", at positions 28 to 507 of the family's 1533-position model. The record is from RNAcentral.
GACGAACGCUGGCGGCGUGCUUAACACAUGCAAGUCGAACGCUGAAGCUCAGCUCUUGUUGCGUGGAUGAGUGGCGAACGGGUGAGUAACACGUGAGUAACCUGCCCUCUUCUUUGGGAUAACGCCCGGAAACGGGUGCUAAUACUGGAUAUUCACUGAUCUUCGCAUGGGGGUUGGUGGAAAGGAUUGUUCUGGUGGGGGAUGGGCGCGCGGCCUAUCAGCUUGUUGGUGGGGUGAUGGCCUACCACGGCUGUGACGGUUAGCCGGCCUGAGAGGGUGACCGGUCACAUUGGGACUGAGAUACGGCCCAGACUCCUACGGGAGGCAGCAGUGGGGAAUAUUGCACAAUGGGCGGAAGCCUGAUGCAGCGACGCCGCGUGGGGGAUGGAGGCCUUCGGGUUGUAGACCUCUUUCGCCUGUGACGAAGCGUGAGUGACGGUAAUGGGUAAAGAAGCACCGGCUAACUACGUG